UUGCGGUCGUAUCACGUUGAAACACCGAUUCUCGUAUGAUCAACGAAGUUAACUCACUUCGAGCUUGGUCAGUACCUAGAUGGGUGACCUUCGGGAAAUACCAGGUGCUGUAA
Acanthosepion pharaonis is the source of this 113-nucleotide non-coding RNA. NCBI's taxonomy places the organism in Eukaryota, Metazoa, Mollusca, Cephalopoda, Sepiida, Sepiidae. The record is from the annotation of a GenBank genome assembly.